Molecule: ribosomal RNA, 301 nt
Filed under: uncultured bacterium
Lineage: Bacteria
Description: partial 16S ribosomal RNA
Rfam family: Bacterial small subunit ribosomal RNA
Source: RNAcentral
CAGCCGCCGCGGGAAUACGAAGGGUGCAAGCGUUACUCGGAAUUACUGGGCGUAAAGCGUGCGUAGGUGGUGGUUUAAGUCCGUUGUGAAAGCCCUGGGCUCAACCUGGGAAUUGCAGUGGAUACUGGGUCACUAGAGUGUGGUAGAGGAUAGUGGAAUUUCCGGUGUAGCAGUGAAAUGCGUAGAGAUCGGAAGGAACAUCUGUGGCGAAGGCGACUAUCUGGGCCAACACUGACACUGAGGCACGAAAGCGUGGGGAGCAAACAGGAUUAGAUACCCGAGUAGUCCCUGUCUCUUAUAA